CGCCUGGGGAGUACGGCCGCAAGGUUAAAACUCAAAUGAAUUGACGGGGGCCCGCACAAGCGGUGGAGCAUGUGGUUUAAUUCGAUGCAACGCGAAGAACCUUACCUGGUCUUGACAUCCACAGAACUUUCCAGAGAUGGAUUGGUGCCUUCGGGAACUGUGAGACAGGUGCUGCAUGGCUGUCGUCAGCUCGUGUUGUGAAAUGUUGGGUUAAGUCCCGCAACGAGCGCAACCCUUAUCCUUUGUUGCCAGCGGUCCGGCCGGGAACUCAAAGGAGACUGCCAGUGAUAAACUGGAGGAAGGUGGGAUGACGUCAAGUCAUCAUGGCCCUUACGACCAGGGCUACACACGUGCUACAAUGGCAUAUACAAAGAGAAGCGACCUCGCGAGAGCAAGCGGACCUCAUAAA
This 409-nucleotide ribosomal RNA is filed under the name Klebsiella pneumoniae. Its description in RNAcentral is "bacterial SSU rRNA". It matches the Rfam family "Bacterial small subunit ribosomal RNA", at positions 870 to 1280 of the family's 1533-position model. The record is from RNAcentral. Lineage: Bacteria; Pseudomonadati; Pseudomonadota; Gammaproteobacteria; Enterobacterales; Enterobacteriaceae.